Xyrauchen texanus (razorback sucker) is the source of this 791-nucleotide long non-coding RNA. RefSeq lists it as uncharacterized. The record is from RefSeq and is a predicted model, not a curated record. Lineage: Eukaryota; Metazoa; Chordata; Actinopteri; Cypriniformes; Catostomidae. The transcript has 3 exons.
CCUGCCAGUCGUGUGACAUCUAAACGAUUUUGAACCUCAGGUGAAUUCUUUUUAUUCUUUAUUAUUUACUCACUGGGUAACUGCAUCUCAGAAUCUUGUCUCUUACAGGAUCCUCUCCGAUUUGUCCAUGGCUCCGUCUAUUGCCCAUUAAUUGCAACCGAAGCUUUUUAAGUGCCUCAACCAACUUCCGAAGGCUGCAAUGGACUGCCCAAGAAAGGAAGAAACACACAAUAGGACUUUAAAUAGAAAUUUUGUCAAGAUUGACCUUGGUGCAUGCCACUAAUGCAUGAAAAACGUUAAAUGAUGGAAUAUGAAGAUGCCAGUGUACACCUUGAAGAUGAACAUCAAACCAUUUAUUCAGGAGCACAUUCUGUUGAGUCAUUUCGAAAGGAAGAAGUUACCAGGUUAUAAGGUAAAAAAUAUAAUGAACCAGUUAAUCUGUUAUAUCUGAUAAGAUCCAUAAGGAGAACAACAACUGUUUUAGUGAUAAUUGGAGUCAAAUGAAUUCAGGCAAAUCUUGGGGGUUAUUAUUAUAAUGAUUAGGCUGCUUUGUUUACUCUUUAAUAACUUGUUAGUAUAAGCCACAUAUAAAACAACAAAAUUAACCAUAGAUAUUAUUAUAUGUUUAUUAUUACUAAUACCAAGUUACAAUAUGGAUACUACAGUAAUGCUGUAGUAAAUCCAUGGUUAAUUGUAUCAAAUUCUUGGUUACUGCCAAAAAGAAAGAAAACAAAAACAUGGUUAAUACAAUAUUACUACAGUAAAGCCAUUGUAAGUUUUCAUAAGGGUAU